Molecule: long non-coding RNA, 248 nt
Filed under: Solanum tuberosum (potato)
Lineage: Eukaryota; Viridiplantae; Streptophyta; Magnoliopsida; Solanales; Solanaceae
Description: long non-coding RNA (STUB_LNC003430)
Source: RNAcentral
AUAUAUAAGAAGAACAAAAGAUCUUUCUUGAUCAAUCCCUUUGCCCCUCAUUCUUCAAGAAUAAGGAAGAUCCUUUUCAAGUUUGAAUUUGUUCAUUUGGAAUCUGGGUUCUUCUACUUCAUAUUUAUUUAAUAUGAAUAUUUUCCCUCUCUUUUUUUUAUAUCAUUCCUUAAGUCCCAUAGGUACAGUGUUUGAAUCAAUAGAGAACCUUUUCUUCUGUAUGAAUCGAUAUUAUUCCAUUCCAAAUC